UACGGAGGGGGCUAGCGUUGUUCGGAAUUACUGGGCGUAAAGCGCACGUAGGCGGCUUUGUAAGUUAGAGGUGAAAGCCUGGAGCUCAACUCCAGAAUUGCCUUUAAGACUGCAUCGCUUGAAUCCGAGAGAGGUGAGUGGAAUUCCGAGUGUAGAGGUGAAAUUCGUAGAUAUUCGCAAGAACACCAGUGGCGAAGGCGGCUCACUGGCCCGGUACUGACGCUGAGGUGCGAAAGCGUGGGGAGCAAACAGG
Molecule: ribosomal RNA, 253 nt
Filed under: uncultured bacterium
Lineage: Bacteria
Description: partial 16S ribosomal RNA
Rfam family: Bacterial small subunit ribosomal RNA
Source: RNAcentral